UACGUAGGCAGCGAGCGUUGUUCGGAGUUACUGGGCGUAAAGGGCGCGUAGGCGGCCUUCUAAGUCGAACGUGAAAUCCCUGGGCUCAACCCAGGAACUGCGUCCGAUACUGGAAGGCUUGAAUCCGGGAGAGGGAUGCGGAAUUCCAGGUGUAGCGGUGAAAUGCGUAGAUAUCUGGAGGAACACCGGUGGCGAAGGCGGCAUCCUGGACCGGUGUUGACGCUGAGGCGCGAAAGCCAGGGGAGCAAACGGG
Molecule: ribosomal RNA, 253 nt
Filed under: uncultured bacterium
Lineage: Bacteria
Description: partial 16S ribosomal RNA
Rfam family: Bacterial small subunit ribosomal RNA
Source: RNAcentral